AUUUACUUCGAUUUUAAGAAGGCCUUAAGAAGUCCCGGGCACAGCUAGUACCUGGAUGGGAGACCGCCUGGGAAUCCUGGGUGCUGUAGGCC
This 92-nucleotide ribosomal RNA is filed under the name Crocodylus porosus (Australian saltwater crocodile). The record is from RNAcentral. Lineage: Eukaryota; Metazoa; Chordata; Crocodylia; Crocodylidae.